GCCAGGCACAGUGGCACAUGCCUGUAAUCCCAGUGGCUCGGGAGGCUGAGACAGGAGGAUCACGAGUUCAAAGCCAGCCUCAGCAACCUUGAGGUGCUAAGCAACUCAGUAAGACCCUGUCUCUA
RNAcentral lists this small RNA (125 nucleotides) under Marmota monax (woodchuck). Lineage: Eukaryota; Metazoa; Chordata; Mammalia; Rodentia; Sciuridae. The record is from RNAcentral.